AGAGUCGAUCGGACAGUCGCUGCCGCAUUUCGUUCUGCGAAAGGCGGGGGAGGAAAGUCCGGGCUCCAUAGGGCGGAGUGCCAGGUAACGCCUGGGAGGCGUGAGCCUACGGAAAGUGCCACAGAAAAUAACCGCCUAAGCGCUUCGGUGCCGGUAAGGGUGAAAAGGUGCGGUAAGAGCGCAC
Molecule: RNase P RNA, 184 nt
Filed under: Gammaproteobacteria bacterium
Lineage: Bacteria; Pseudomonadati; Pseudomonadota; Gammaproteobacteria
Description: partial RNase P RNA component class A
Rfam family: Bacterial RNase P class A
About the family: Ribonuclease P (RNase P) is a ubiquitous endoribonuclease, found in archaea, bacteria and eukarya as well as chloroplasts and mitochondria. Its best characterised activity is the generation of mature 5'-ends of tRNAs by cleaving the 5'-leader elements of precursor-tRNAs.
Source: RNAcentral